UAGUGUUGGUUUCUUCUCUAACAAUAAUAGUGAGUGGGGUUGGUUUUGGAUCCUUCCAGCCUGUCCUUAUUGUGAUCCCAAAAAAAAUUGAAUUAAAAGGGUAUUCAACAUUAUUCAAUAUUCAUUUUCAUAUGAUAUGAGAGGAAAGGAAUUUUUUUUCAUGGUGGGUCUAUUUUGCAACCAAUGAGUGAAAUGAGAUCUGAGAAGUGAAAACAUUUUUUGUUGAAGGAAUGGAGAUUAAAGCUGAAAGCACUGUGACAACAAUUAGAAAAGAGAUGUGAGUCACUUGCUUAAGUAAG
Molecule: long non-coding RNA, 299 nt
Filed under: Medicago truncatula (barrel medic)
Lineage: Eukaryota; Viridiplantae; Streptophyta; Magnoliopsida; Fabales; Fabaceae
Description: lncRNA gene42346
Source: RNAcentral